UACGGAGGGUGCAAGCGUUAUCCGGAUUCACUGGGUUUAAAGGGUGCGUAGGUGGGUUGGUAAGUCCGUGGUGAAAUCCCCGAGCUUAACUUGGGAACUGCCAUGGAUACUAUUAAUCUUGAAUGUCGUGGAGAUGAGCGGAAUAUGUCAUGUAGCGGUGAAAUGCUUAGAUAUGACAUAGAGCACCAAUUGCGAAGGCAGCUCGUUACGCGAAUAUUGACACUGAUGCACGAAAGCGUGGGGAUCAAACAGG
Molecule: ribosomal RNA, 253 nt
Filed under: uncultured bacterium
Lineage: Bacteria
Description: partial 16S ribosomal RNA
Rfam family: Bacterial small subunit ribosomal RNA
Source: RNAcentral